This 205-nucleotide microRNA precursor is filed under the name Oryza glumipatula. Its description in RNAcentral is "MIR812 microRNA precursor family". It matches the Rfam family "MIR812 microRNA precursor family". The record is from Rfam by way of RNAcentral. Lineage: Eukaryota; Viridiplantae; Streptophyta; Magnoliopsida; Poales; Poaceae.
AAUAUUUGACGCCAUUAACUUUUUAGCACAUGUUUGACCGUUUGUCUUAUUCAAAAAAUUUAAGUAAUUAUUAAUCCUUUUCCUAUCAUUUGAUUCAUUGUUAAAUAUAUUUUUAUGUAGGCAUAUAAUUUUACAUAUUUUACAAAAGUUUUUGAAUAAGACGAACGAUUAAACAUGUGCUAAAAAGUCAACGGUGUCAAACAUU